This 114-nucleotide ribosomal RNA is filed under the name Microcystis aeruginosa Ma_MB_F_20061100_S20. RNAcentral describes it as "partial 23S ribosomal RNA". RNAcentral also lists the same sequence under 1 other name. The record is from RNAcentral. Lineage: Bacteria; Bacillati; Cyanobacteriota; Cyanophyceae; Chroococcales; Microcystaceae.
GACCCCGGCGACUGUUCGAGUUUUGUCAGGGAGAUUAUGGUGGUGACCCUUGCUACGAAGCGGUCUUUUCCGACCAAGGUUGGGACGGUCUACCACCUCUCUCAAUAUACAAGG